CAGGAGGUUGGCACUUGGAUUCCAACAUGAAGCGUGUCAAGGAAACCAUAUGUUGCUGGACAGGACAUAUGACCCAGUACUAGCAUAUGGGGCUCCAUGCCCUGAUGGAGGUAGAAUUAAAUAAAGAAGGUAGCAGUCCCUGGGCACUGGAGAUAGUCCCAUAGAUAUUCACAUAUCCAGCUUCAUAUUGAGGGCAGGUUAGGAGAGAAAACAGAAGG
RNAcentral lists this long non-coding RNA (218 nucleotides) under Elaeis guineensis (African oil palm). Its description in RNAcentral is "long non-coding RNA (EGUI_LNC005687)". The record is from RNAcentral. Lineage: Eukaryota; Viridiplantae; Streptophyta; Magnoliopsida; Arecales; Arecaceae.